This 497-nucleotide ribosomal RNA is filed under the name uncultured bacterium. RNAcentral describes it as "partial 16S ribosomal RNA". It matches the Rfam family "Bacterial small subunit ribosomal RNA", at positions 28 to 507 of the family's 1533-position model. The record is from RNAcentral.
GAUGAACGCUGGCGGCGUGCCUAAUACAUGCAAGUCGAGCGAACAGACGAGGAGCUUGCUCCUCUGACGUUAGCGGCGGACGGGUGAGUAACACGUGGAUAACCUACCUAUAAGACUGGGAUAAAUUCGUGAAACCGGAGCUAAUACCGGAUAAUAUAUUGAACCGCAUGGUUCAAUAGUGAAAGACGGUUUUGCUGUCACUUAUAGAUGGAUCCGCGCCGCAUUAGCUAGUUGGUAAGGUAACGGCUUACCAAGGCAACGAUGCGUAGCCGACCUGAGAGGGUGAUCGGCCACACUGGAACUGAGACACGGUCCAGACUCCUACGGGAGGCAGCAGUAGGGAAUCUUCCGCAAUGGGCGAAAGCCUGACGGAGCAACGCCGCGUGAGGGAUGAAGGUCUUCGGAUCGUAAAACUCUGUUAUUAGGGAAGAACAAAUGUGUAAGUAACUAUGCACGUCUUGACGGUACCUAAUCAGAAAGCCACGGCUAACUACGUG